UGGGGAAUAUUGCACAAUGGGCGCAAGCCUGAUGCAGCCAUGCCGCGUGUAUGAAGAAGGCCUUCGGGUUGUAAAGUACUUUCAGCGGGGAGGAAGGGAGUAAAGUUAAUACCUUUGCUCAUUGACGUUACCCGCAGAAGAAGCACCGGCUAACUCCGUGCCAGCAGCCGCGGUAAUACGGAGGGUGCAAGCGUUAAUCGGAAUUACUGGGCGUAAAGCGCACGCAGGCGGUUUGUUAAGUCAGAUGUGAAAUCCUCGGGCUCAACCUGGGAACUGCAUCUGAUACUGGCAAGCUUGAGUCUCGUAGAGGGGGGUAGAAUUCCAGGUGUAGCGGUGAAAUGCGUAGAGAUCUGGAGGAAUACCGGUGGCGAAGGCGGCCCCCUGGACGAAGACUGACGCUCAGGUGCGAAAGCGGGGGGAGCAAACAGG
RNAcentral lists this ribosomal RNA (429 nucleotides) under Chloroflexota bacterium. Its description in RNAcentral is "Chloroflexi bacterium partial 16S ribosomal RNA". It matches the Rfam family "Bacterial small subunit ribosomal RNA", at positions 355 to 776 of the family's 1533-position model. Lineage: Bacteria; Bacillati; Chloroflexota. The record is from RNAcentral.